RNAcentral lists this ribosomal RNA (506 nucleotides) under uncultured bacterium. RNAcentral describes it as "partial 16S ribosomal RNA". It matches the Rfam family "Bacterial small subunit ribosomal RNA", at positions 28 to 523 of the family's 1533-position model. The record is from RNAcentral.
GAUGAUCGCUAGCUACAGGCUUAACACAUGCAAGUCGAGGGGUAACGAGAGGAAAGCUUGCUUUCCUUGUCGACGACCGGCGCACGGGUGAGUAACGCGUAUCCAACCUGCCCCCAACUAGGGAAUAACCUUGCGAAAGUAAGACUAAUACCCUAUAAUUUCCUCAGAUGUCAUCUGACGAGGAAUAAAGAUUUAUCGGUUGUGGAUGGGGAUGCGUCUGAUUAGCUUGUUGGCGGGGUAACGGCCCACCAAGGCAACGAUCAGUAGGGGUUCUGAGGGGAAGGUCCCCCACAUUGGAACUGAGACACGGUCCAAACUCCUACGGGAGGCAGCAGUGAGGAAUAUUGGUCAAUGGGCGGAAGCCUGAACCAGCCAAGUAGCGUGCAGGAUGACGGCCCUAUGGGUUGUAAACUGCUUUUAUACAGGAAUAAAGUUAGCCACGUGUGGUUAUUUGUAGGUACUGUAUGAAUAAGGACCGGCUAAUUCCGUGCCAGCCGCCGCGGUAA